Molecule: small nuclear RNA, 23 nt
Filed under: Arabidopsis thaliana (thale cress)
Lineage: Eukaryota; Viridiplantae; Streptophyta; Magnoliopsida; Brassicales; Brassicaceae
Description: snRNA_08745
Source: RNAcentral
UUGGAAGUUUGAAGAUCUCUCCU